CGAGUCUGCCUUGAAGAUCGGAGUGCUUGCACUCUGUGAAACAAGAUACAGGCUAGCGGCGGACGGGUGAGUAACACGUGGGUAACCUGCCCAAGAGAUCGGGAUAACACCUGGAAACAGAUGCUAAUACCGGAUAACAACAGAUGAUGCCUAUCAACUGUUUAAAAGAUGGUUCUGCUAUCACUCUUGGAUGGACCUGCGGUGCAUUAGCUAGUUGGUAGGGUAACGGCCUACCAAGGCGAUGAUGCAUAGCCGAGUUGAGAGACUGAUCGGCCACAUUGGGACUGAGACACGGCCCAAACUCCUACGGGAGGCAGCAGUAGGGAAUCUUCCACAAUGGACGCAAGUCUGAUGGAGCAACGCCGCGUGAGUGAAGAAGGGCUUCGGCUCGUAAAGCUCUGUUGUUGGUGAAGAAGGACAGGGGUAGUAACUGACCUUUGUUUGACGGUAAUCAAUUAGAAAGUCACGGCUAACUACGUGCCAGCAGCCGCGGUAAUACGUAGGCGGCAAGCGUUGUCCGGAUUUAUUGGGCGUAAAGCGAGUGCAGGCGGCUCGAUAAGUCUGAUGUGAAAGCCUUCGGCUCAACCGGAGAAUUGCAUCAGAAACUGUCGAGCUUGAGUACAGAAGAGGAGAGUGGAACUCCAUGUGUAGCGGUGAAAUGCAUAGAUAUAUGGAAGAACACCGGUGGCGAAGGCGGCUCUCUGGUCUGUUACUGACGCUGAGGCUCGAAAGCAUGGGUAGCGAACAGGAUUAGAUACCCUGGUAGUCCAUGCCGU
This 776-nucleotide ribosomal RNA is filed under the name uncultured bacterium. RNAcentral's name for it is "bacterial SSU rRNA". It matches the Rfam family "Bacterial small subunit ribosomal RNA", at positions 58 to 803 of the family's 1533-position model. The record is from RNAcentral.